Non-coding RNA from Salmo salar (Atlantic salmon), 54 nucleotides. The record is from Rfam. NCBI's taxonomy places the organism in Eukaryota, Metazoa, Chordata, Actinopteri, Salmoniformes, Salmonidae.
UGCAUUCACUACUGUAAUAUGCUCUGGAUAAGAGCGUCUGCUAAAUGACUAAAA